UUUGGGUGUGCGGUGUCAAAGCCGUGCACUCUUAACGGUCGGACAAGUCCGUCGGAGUGUGGUUAUUGUUGGAAGGGCAACCGACCAAUGAGGCCACCGUAAUCGUUCGGGGUGCCUUUAAUCGGGUGUCUCGGGCGGCCGACAUAGUUUACUUUGAACAAAUUAGAGUGCUCAAAGCAGGUGACUACCGCCUGAAUAGUACAGCAUGGAAUGAUGAAAGAGGACCUCGGUCUGAUUUUGCUGGUCUUUAACGGUCGGGCUUCGGCCCGGCCUAUGCAGACCCGAGGUAAUGGUCAAUAGAGACGGACGAGGGCAUCCGUACUGCGGCGACAGAGGUGAAAUUCUUGGACCGCCGCAAGACGAACGACAGCGGAGGCAUUUGCCAAGAAUGUUUUCCUUGAUCAAGAACGAAAGUUAGAGGUUCGAAGGCGAUCAGAUACCGCCCUAGUUCUAACCAUAAACGAUGCCAACUAGCGAUCCGCCGGUGUUACUCCCAUGACUCGGCGGGCAGCUUCCGGGAAACCAAAGUCUUUGGGUUCCGGGGGAAGUAUGGUUGCAAAGCUGAAACUUAAAGGAAUUGACGGAAGGGCACCACCAGGAGUGGAGCCUGCGGCUUAAUUUGACCCAACACGGGAAACCUCACCAGGCCCGGACACUGGAAGGAUUGACAGAUUGAGAGCUCUUUCUUGAUUCGGUGGGUGGUGGUGCAUGGCCGUUCUUAGUUGGUGGAGCGAUUUGUCUGGUUAAUUCCGAUAACGAACGAGACUCUAGCCUGCUAAGUAGGUGCCGGGUUUUUACAUCUCCUCGCAAGGGGAGAGUGGAGUGUGUGGUUGUCGGGAUCCUGGGCUGUGGUGGUCGUUUAGGCUGCGGGGGGCAACUCUCGAGAAAGGGCGCUUUUAUUAGAUCAAAACCAGUCGAGAGCUUCGGCUCUCGUUAAGUUUGGUGACUCUGGAUAACUUCACGCUGAUCGCACGGUCUUCGCACCGGCGACGAUUCUUUCAAAUGUCUGCCUUAUCAACUGUCGAUGGUAGGUUAUGCGCCUACCAUGGUUGCAACGGGUAACGGGGAAUCGGGGUUCGAUUCCGGAGAGGGAGCCUGAGAAACGGCUACCACAUCCAAGGAAGGCAGCAGGCGCGCAAAUUACCCACUCCCGGCACGGGAGGUAGUGACGAAAAAUAACGAUACGGGACUCUUCCGAGGCCCCGUGA
RNAcentral lists this ribosomal RNA (1208 nucleotides) under metagenome. RNAcentral describes it as "bacterial SSU rRNA". It matches the Rfam family "Eukaryotic small subunit ribosomal RNA", at positions 639 to 1380 of the family's 1831-position model. The record is from RNAcentral.